GGGAACAUGGGGCUGUACGCUGCGGUGGCAGGCGUGCUGGCCGGCGUGGAGAGCCGCCAGGGCUCUAUCAAGGGGCUGGUGUACUCCAGCAACUUCCAGCCUUGAUGACUUACAAGCCCUCAAGGGGAAGCAUUUUCUCCUGGACUCCUUGAUGCCGGAGCUGCUGGUGUUUCCCGCCCAGACAGAUCUGCAUGAACACCCACUGUACCGGGCCGGACACCUCAUUCUGCAGGACAGGGCCAGCUGUCUCCCAGCCAUGCUGCUGGACCCCUGCCAGGCUCCCAUGUCAUCGAUGCCUGUGCCGCCCCAGGCAAUAAGACCAGUCACUUGGCUGCUCUUCUGAAGAACCAAGGGAAGAUCUUUGCCUUUGACCUGGAUGCCAAGCGGCUGGCAUCCAUGGCCACGCUGCUGGCCUGGGUUGGCGUCUCCUGCUGUGAGCUGGCUGAGGAGGACUUCCUGGCGGUCUCCCCCUUAGAUCCGCGCUAUCGUGAGGUCCACUAUGUCCUGCUGGAUCCUUCCUGCAGUGGCUCGGGUAUGCCGAGCAGACAGCUGGAGGAUCCCGGGGCAGGGACACCUAGCCCGGUGCGUCUGCAUGCCCUGGCAGGGUUCCAGCAGCGAGCCCUGUGCCACGCGCUCACUUUCCCUUCCCUGCAGCGGCUCGUCUACUCCAUGUGCUCCCUCUGCCAGGAGGAGAAUGAAGACAUGGUACCAGAUGCGCUGCAGCAGAACCCGGGCGCCUUCAGGCUAGCUCCCGCCCUGCCUGCCCGGCCCCACCGAGGCCUGAGCACGUUCCCGGGUGCCGAGCACUGCCUCCGGGCUUCCCCCAAGACCACGCUUAGCGGUGGCUUCUUCGUUGCUGUAAUUGAACGGGUCGAGAUGCCGAUGUGACUCAGCCUCACAGGCCAAAGCAUCAGCACCAGAACGCACACCCAGCCCAGCCCCAAAGAGAAAGAAGAGACAGCAAAGAGCCGCAGCCGGUGCUUGCACACCGCCUUGCACAUAGCAGAGGCUCCAGGCUGACUCCUUCCUGGUGGGAAAGGAAGAUGCCUGUCCUCUCCGUGGAGGACCCUGGGCCCUCACCGCAGGCAGCAGUUUGCAUUUUGAAAGGUUAUUGGGUCCCUUCCUCGGGCUGUGUUCUUGCUGGUGAGCAAAAGUGUUGCCUGCAGAAAUAAAAUGCAGAACGUACUCUACGAUA
Molecule: long non-coding RNA, 1195 nt
Organism: Homo sapiens (human)
Lineage: Eukaryota; Metazoa; Chordata; Mammalia; Primates; Hominidae
Gene: NSUN5P1
Product: NSUN5 pseudogene 1
Source: Ensembl